UGCCUAGAGCCCGGCUCCGACGUGCUGAGUACAACUUGCCUAGACGGGGGAAGCAACUGCUGGAGUUCAGAGAGCCUUUCUAGCUUUGAAGAGCUGUGAGGGAAGGCUGCUGAUGUCUGGCUUCAGCCCUCAUGGAACAUAAAGACUGCAACCAUGAAGACUCUAGAUAAGGGUGUGAACAGAGCCCAGCACGUGGUUCUGGAGUUUGGGGAGCAGUAGGGCUUUACCUUGGCUCCCAGACUCAGCUGUGCCGGUCCCAUGCCACCCACCACCUUCCAGCCUCCAAUCUUCUCAGCUUCCACAAACACAGGAUGCUUCAGCACAGAAACGAGUCCCACCUCACCUUCACCUACUUCCUGCUUCACUGCGGCCUGGACACACACUGACAUGGAAGGUGCUUGGAUCCCUGAGUCUCUGGAUGGAGGAGAGCCCUGCCCCCUGGAAUGCAAACCAUAGUCUGAGGGCUAAGCCACAGAUGGCAAUGGUUAUUUAUUAUUUAGUACAAUAAAGCCAAUCUUUUAAAAUACA
Molecule: long non-coding RNA, 528 nt
Organism: Ursus maritimus (polar bear)
Lineage: Eukaryota; Metazoa; Chordata; Mammalia; Carnivora; Ursidae
Source: Ensembl